Molecule: ribosomal RNA, 382 nt
Filed under: uncultured organism
Description: bacterial SSU rRNA
Rfam family: Bacterial small subunit ribosomal RNA
Source: RNAcentral
CGUAGGGUGCAAGCGUUAAUCGGAAUUACUGGGCGUAAAGCGUACGCAGGCGGGCUUUGCAAGACAGGUAGUCGAAAUCCCCCGGGGCCUAACCUGGGGAACUGCAUUUGUGACUGCAUGGCUAGAGUUUGUCAGAGGGGGGUGGAAUUCCACGUGUAGCAGUGAAAUGCGUAGAUAUGUGGAGGAACACCGAUGGCGAAGGCAGCCCCCUGGGAUGUGACUGACGCUCAUGUACGAAAGCGUGGGGAGCAAACAGGAUUAGAUACCCUGGUAGUCCACGCCCUAAACGAUGUCGACUAGUUGGUCGGAGGGUAACUCCUUCGGUAACGCAGCUAACGCGUGAAGUCCGACCCGCCGUGGGGGAGUACGGUCGCAAGAUUAA